UACGUAGGGUGCAAGCGUUAAUCGGAAUUACUGGGCGUAAAGCGUGCGCAGGCGGUUUUGUAAGACAGUCGUGAAAUCCCCGGGCUCAACCUGGGAAUUGCGAUUGUGACUGCAAAGCUGGAGUGCGGCANAGGGGGGAUGGAAUUCUGCGUGUAGCAGUGAAAUGCGUAGAUAUGCGGAGGAACACCGAUGGCGAAGGCAACUCCCCGUGGGCCUGCACUGACGCUCAUGCACG
This 235-nucleotide ribosomal RNA is filed under the name uncultured bacterium. RNAcentral describes it as "partial 16S ribosomal RNA". It matches the Rfam family "Bacterial small subunit ribosomal RNA", at positions 524 to 755 of the family's 1533-position model. The record is from RNAcentral.